This 305-nucleotide ribosomal RNA is filed under the name uncultured bacterium. RNAcentral's name for it is "bacterial SSU rRNA". It matches the Rfam family "Bacterial small subunit ribosomal RNA", at positions 338 to 640 of the family's 1533-position model. The record is from RNAcentral.
CCUACGGGGCGCAGCAGUGAGGAAUAUUGGUCAAUGGGCGGAAGCCUGAACCAGCCAAGUCGCGUGAGGGAAUAAGGUCCUACGGGUUGUAAACCUCUUUUGCCGGGGAGCAAUGGCCGGGACGCGUCCCCGCCCGGAGAGUACCCGGAGAAAAAGCAUCGGCUAACUCCGUGCCAGCAGCCGCGGUAAUACGGAGGAUGCGAGCGUUAUCCGGAUUUAUUGGGUUUAAAGGGUGCGUAGGCGGGCUUUUAAGUCAGCGGUAAAAAUUCCGGGCUCAACCCCGUCCGGCCGUUGAAACUGGGGGG